This is a long non-coding RNA of Orcinus orca (killer whale), 225 nucleotides long. RefSeq lists it as uncharacterized. Lineage: Eukaryota; Metazoa; Chordata; Mammalia; Artiodactyla; Delphinidae. The record is from RefSeq and is a predicted model, not a curated record. The transcript is spliced from 3 exons.
GGUCCAGCAGGCAUUCUCAGGUGAUUCAGUCAGUAAAGCGCAAGUCAAGUUCAAGGUUGGGUGCUGGACUCCCAAAGUCUACAUGUUUCUAGGACACCGUCAGGUGUCACCUGGGUGCAUCAGACACCCCACUAGCUGAUGCCUGAUGGAUGUGAUCACAGUGGACAGGAGUCAGAACAGCAGAGGAAAGAUCAGAGUCUCAGGUCUUCACUCACCUACCUCACA